GAUGAAUGCUGGCGGCGUGCCUAACACAUGCAAGUCGAGCGGCAGCGCGGUCUUCGGACUGGCGGCGAGCGGCGGACGGCUGAGUAACGCGUGGGAACGUACCCCAAAGUGAGGAAUAACUGCCCGAAAGGGUAGCUAAUGCCGCAUAUGGUCUUCGGAUUAAAGGAUUUAUCCGCUUUGGGAACGGCCUGCGUACGAUUAGAUUGUUGGUGAGGUAAUGGCUCACCAAGUCGACGAUCGUUAACUGGUCUGAGAGGAUGAUCAGUCAAACUGGAACUGAGACACGGUCCAGACUCCUACGGGAGGCAGCAGUGAGGAAUCUUCCACAAUGGGCGAAAGCCUGAUGGAGCAACGCCGCGUGCAGGAUGAAGGCCUUCGGGUCGUAAACUGCUUUUAUAAGUGAAGAAUAUGACGGUAACUUAUGAAUAAGCACCGGCUAACUACGUGCCAGCAGCCGCGGUA
RNAcentral lists this ribosomal RNA (462 nucleotides) under uncultured bacterium. RNAcentral describes it as "partial 16S ribosomal RNA". It matches the Rfam family "Bacterial small subunit ribosomal RNA", at positions 28 to 522 of the family's 1533-position model. The record is from RNAcentral.